Thamnophis sirtalis is the source of this 230-nucleotide non-coding RNA. The record is from RefSeq and is a predicted model, not a curated record. Lineage: Eukaryota; Metazoa; Chordata; Lepidosauria; Squamata; Natricidae.
UCGCAGUGUGACGGAGGGCAUCAACAAGGAGGUCCUGGGCAUCCUGGUCUCCUACAGGGUCAAAGUGAAGCUGGUGGUCUCCCGGGGAGGGGACGUGGCGGUAGAGCUGCCCUUCGUCCUGAUGCACGCGAAGCCCCCCGAGCAGCCCUCCACGAUGCAGCCCCCAGCAGAUGAGCCAGAAUCGGACGCGCCGAUUGAUGCCAACCUGAUCGAGUUUGAACCAAAGUAAG